Molecule: long non-coding RNA, 2467 nt
Filed under: Nicotiana tabacum (common tobacco)
Lineage: Eukaryota; Viridiplantae; Streptophyta; Magnoliopsida; Solanales; Solanaceae
Description: long non-coding RNA (NTAB_LNC011068)
Source: RNAcentral
UCGGAACCUCCCCCCCCCUAACCAUAGAGACAUCCUCAUAGUUCCCCCCUUUCACUCUCUGCUUCGCCGCCACCGGAAAUCACCUCAUGGCGGCGGCACCACUCCAAACCUCCCCAAAUUUUCACUCCGUAACCCUCAUCUCAUCUCAUAUCUCUUUUUAGAUUCCUUCAAAACACCUCAGAUUUCCCCAAUUUUCAGAUCUAAAAACCCCAGAAAAAACCCUAUUCAUUCUUUGUUGAUUAUCUAUGAAGGUCGGCCCAUUUUAGGUUGAAACUGGCCUCAAUCGAUCACUCUCAAUGAGAGCUAUUGAUUGAUGGUGAUUUUAUUCCAUCUCCUUUAUUGCCCGAAUUUCAUCAAACUCAGACCAUCGCCCAGUUUUCUUCCGAAAAUUUUGUCUCUUUUAAAAAUUAGGCUAGCAAUUAGCAUUGUUAUUGUAGAACUUCCUCAUGUAUGCUGGAAUCCGGGCUUGUUUGCUUUAUCGGAGUCAGUGUUUGUUCGAGUUCAACCCAAAUAGGUAUAAUUCAUUCCUCUCUUUCUUCGUUUGUCCUUUUACUAUUUUUCAAUCCUCUUGAUUCUUUGUGAAUGUCCGAUUUGGUUUAAUCUAAAUGUUUAGAGUCAGUUUCUACUUGAAUUGAUUAGUUUAAAUUGAAUAUUAUUUUAAUUAGCAUGCUUUAGUCAAGGAUUGACUCGGUGGAUUCACGUUUAGUUUUGUGUUGGCUUAUUUGUUGUUAAUUUGGUUUAGUUAAUUGCUGCGUAUUAAUUGUUUAUUUUUUGUUAAAGUAAAAAUAAAGAGCAGUAAUUUUGGAAUGAAUAUUGUAAAUAAUGGGGUAAAAGAAAUUGGUAAACAAAAGAAGACAUUAGCUAGGAUUUGAGGGGGCUAAAGGAAAUAGAAUUAUAAGAGAAUCAUUCUGUUAGGUAGUUGAGAUAUUUCUAGAACAGUGCAGUAGGGAUUAAAAUGCAAAAGAACAAAGGAAUUAAAUCAAAUUUGGGGGUAAAAAGGGGUAAAUUCAGAAGAUACAAGGGCUGAAAAAAUAUCUGAAUGGACAGUUGUCCAACAGCUAUCCAAUUCAGUUUUAAAAGAUGUCUUUUCUCCUUAUUUUUAGGGACUGCAUUCCCCAGAAUUAUUCCCUCACAUUUGCGUAUAUAAGAGACCUCACACUCCCUCACACACAGGCAUUAUUUUCUGCAUAUUCACUCACUCAAAAGAAAACUGAUAUAAGAUGAAAUUUGAAAGAAACGUUCUUAGUAUUCAACUUCAAAAAAUCAAAAAAAAGGGAAGGAGAUACAAAGUUGUUUUCGAAUUCUAGCAUGUUUGAUUGAUAUUUUUUGGGAUCUCAAAAGACUUUCAUGCUAUUAGGAUUGCUGUUUUUGCUGGGUUGGAAUCUGUUUCCUCUACUUGCCGAACUUGACAUCAUCUCUACUUCGUUUUUCUUCCUUAACUAAUUCAUUUCAAAGCCUUUAUUUGGCUGUGUUAGAUUGUUGAUAUCUUUAGGUAUGUAGACUUGUAUUCUGCUUUGGUUUGUAUUUAAGUAUGGGCUGUUUUAUCUGAAGUUAUCUGCUGCAUUUGUUUAAAUUUAUUGUAUGUUCGGUUUUUGCACAUGAAUUGAAUGCUUAGCUUUAAUAUAGUAACUACAUGAAGGUUCUGUUAUUUUGCCUAUGAGAAACAUGUUGAUUUCGGAGAUUUAAUGACUAAAAGAUGCUGGAAAUCCGCUUGUUACAAUUAGAAUUCAGUUUAUGUGUUGUAUUAAUAGUUAUAUACUGCUCAAUUUGAGAUUGGACUGUUGAAAUCUAAGUCUCUUUCUUUUCGUGCUAGUAAGAUGUGCAAGUUUGGAUUCGUGUGAUCAAAGAUGGUAUAUCACUAUUGAAGAAUUUUAUGCCUAGAUUACCUUUAUUUGAAUUGAUAGUGAAUAGUGUUUCAAUACUACUAUUUUAGACAUGACCCAAAUUCUUUUCCGUAUUAAGUAUAUGAUUGAAACAAUAUUAUUUCUUCAUUAGAGUGUUGGCUCACGAAAUUAAUGGUGUAAUUUUGAUUUGAUGUUGGCAUGUGGAGGUUGUCGUUGGAUUUGAUCACCAGUUGAUCAAAUCCAUUAUUGGAUAGAUUUCGAGUACAAAUCGGGCAGUAACAAAGAGAACAAAUGCUUAUUAUAGUUGUAAUUUAAUUGAAAGGCCAUUUAGGUGUAAUUUGGGUUUCUCUUUGUAUGAACAGUUUCUCUUUAAUUCCUGAGUAUUUAUUUCUUUUAUAUAUGGUUCGAUUCAGUAUUAUGAAUGUUUAAACAAAUGCUUCAUUCCAUCUUUAAUAAUCAGAAACCAAAGGAGACCAGGCAUCUGGAAGUGCACAGUCACAAUAAAAAACCAAAUUGAGUCAAUUUGGGCCAUAGCCCAACAUGUUAUCCAAAUUUAAAGAAUCCAAUGGACUCUAAAUUUGUUGGUUCCCUAAUUGUUGGCAUGCCCUCAAUAACCUGUCAUC